CUAUAAUGGAGAGUUUGAUCCUGGCUCAGGACGAACGCUGGCGGCGUGCCUAAUACAUGCAAGUCGAGCGGAA
This 73-nucleotide ribosomal RNA is filed under the name Planococcus glaciei. Its description in RNAcentral is "Planomicrobium glaciei 16S rRNA. Bacterial SSU". It matches the Rfam family "Bacterial small subunit ribosomal RNA", at positions 1 to 71 of the family's 1533-position model. Lineage: Bacteria; Bacillati; Bacillota; Bacilli; Caryophanales; Caryophanaceae. The record is from RNAcentral.